UACGGAGGGUGCAAGCGUUAUCCGGAAUUACUGGGUUUAAAGGGUGCGUAGGCGGCUUGAUAAGUCAGAGGUGAAAGCCUAUCGCUUAACGAUAGAAUUGCCUUUGAUACUGUAAAGCUUGAAAGGGGUUGAGGUCAGCAGAAUGUGGCAUGUAGCGGUGAAAUGCAUAGAUAUGCCAUAGAACACCGAUUGCGAAGGCAGUUGGCUGGGCCUACUUUGACGAUGAGGCACGAAAGCGUGGGGAGCGAACAGG
This 253-nucleotide ribosomal RNA is filed under the name uncultured bacterium. Its description in RNAcentral is "partial 16S ribosomal RNA". It matches the Rfam family "Bacterial small subunit ribosomal RNA", at positions 524 to 776 of the family's 1533-position model. The record is from RNAcentral.